Long non-coding RNA from Vidua macroura (Pin-tailed whydah), 4957 nucleotides. RefSeq lists it as uncharacterized. The transcript is spliced from 4 exons. The record is from RefSeq and is a predicted model, not a curated record. Lineage: Eukaryota; Metazoa; Chordata; Aves; Passeriformes; Viduidae.
CGUCGCAGGCGCCAUUUUGUGCGCGGCUCUUUCCCAUUUUAGGCCGCGGGGAGAGGGAGGAGCGGGAGCGCCCGUGGGAUCGGCGGAGGGAACGGCCGGGAGGCUCCUCCUGAGCCCCGCUGAGGCGGCACCGCGUCUCUUCCCGGCAGUACGACCCCGUCGCUGCGUCUUGGUGGCGGCCCCGCUUGAGGCGGCGAUGGCGCAGGAGCGGGCCCGGCCGGACCCGGAAGUGGAGCGGCCGCCAUGGAGGCGCCGGGACCGCCCGCCGUGAGGGCGCGGAGCCGCCGGGGCGGCCCGAGCGCCCCGCAGAGACACACCCGGGGUGCAGCAUAAAACUCCUGCCCCUGUGGAUGUAUCAGUUACAGCCAGCACAAUUAGGAGGCUCAUGGCACAUCACCCACCCAGCUGCUGACUGCAAGUUCACGUUGGUGAUGAUAGUUACAGCUAUCCUGGGGAAGUCAUGCAGUGUUGCAAAACAACCACACAGCACUGCAGGGAAGCUGAAGAUCUGUGCAGCAGCUUUAAUUUAGAUGUGGCAAAGGAUUCUGUCACCACCUGCAAUCAAGUGAUCAGCCUGUCUUUCAAAACUUGAAAUGCAGAGUGUAGAGCAACGUGAUCCAGCAGGAUUGUGGAUUCACAUCCUUCCUUGUAACCCUCCAGAAGCACUGUGUGUGUCCCUGAAGUGUGUGAUGCUGCAGACUGUGUGUCACUGCCAGCCUGCAGCCUGGCACAAAGAGGGGAGCAGCAGCACUGCUGUUCAGCCUGGCUGCUCAGCAAAAGAGGUGAGGGCAGUGGUUACAUGGCCUUUCUUCCAGGGCUUUUGCCUGUCCAAAUUAUUUCAAUCACUGCAGGUUAAUUUACUCUUCAGCCUCAGCUAACAAGACUGCAGUUGGUCAGUAUUGAUUCUUACUUAAAAGUAUUAAUGCCUUCAGUCUUUGAAUUAAAUGUUUUGAGCUGUAAGUAGCUGCUGUUGGUGAGAAUCUACAGUUCAGCCAGUGAUUAAAUUCUGAAUUAUUUUCCCCUGCUCAGCCAUCUUUUCCAAAGCUGUUUUUCGUUAGUGUCUGUGUCUUUUGGAGGAUAUUAUUCCAGGUAGCUCAUUUCCAGGUGUCCAGGGAGUUGGCUGUCCCAUCAACACUUAAGCUGUUAAUUAAUUGCCAGACUGUGCUGUUUGCUGGAGUUGGUACCUUCAGGGAUGUGCUUUCCCCUGCAGUGCUCCUGUGUAGUGUCACCUCAUUAGCUACAGCUAUAAACAGAGCCGUGUUGUGUGACAUUCAGAACUCUGACAGAGCAAAAGACAUGGCUUUUUAGAGGGUUGUGUUAUUCUGGAUCAAUGGAAGAUGUAUUUGUGGGAGUGAUCUGUCAUGUCCUUGCAAGCAGCACAACAGGAUACACUGGUGUGAGGCUAGACACAAGCACUUGGCUGGGGGAAGCAGCUCUUGUUAAACCAACUGAUGGAAAACACAUUUAGCUACAUUUUAGUUCUGCCCCAAACAGCAUUUCAGAUUUGUUUCUGUUCCUGAUGUACAUAGGAAAGUGUCUGGGGGAAAUAGGCUUUCACUUGGUGGGCUUUGGUGACUGUGGGAGCAGCUGGGGUUAGAACUGAAACUGAGCUUUGAACAUUCUGCUGAAGUAGCUGGUGCUUCCUGUGCUGCUCUUGUCACCUGUUAAUGCAGUCUCAUGGAAUAGCUCUCUGUUCUUUCUGAAUGUAAUGAAAGGAGCAGAUUUCCUGCUUUUCUAAAAUUAUAACAAACAAGAUAAAUUUUAACUUAGAAAAAUUUAGGCAUCACUUGGGUGGGUUUUGGGAGUGUGUUGUGUUUGGAAUGCAUCAGUGUUUGGGUGAAUUCACUAUAAUUGGACCUACUCUUAAUCUGGUGAAAUUGGAAUCCUAAUGACUGAUUUUGGAUAUGCAGACAGUAUGUGUACCAAAUUAUAUCUAAUUUUAUGCAGCAAUAAAGCACACCAUGUUCUUUCUAAACCUUUGAUUGGCUUGUUUUAUCAUGUUGCCAAAAAUGGUAUUUUCAGUGGGCAGUUCCUACACUGUUUUUAGGGGAGACUGCAGGGGAUUUCAGUUUGUUCCUGUAUCUGAAGAUAUGCAUGUGUUUGGACUACAAACUGUGUGAUGCUGCUGCCGGCUUCAUUCUAGUUGUCCAUUUUUGGUUGGCACAGCAACUCGUAAGAACCAUUUUUAAACAACUGUUUCAGAGUCCUUUAAUAGCAAUGUACUGAAGAUGAAAGAGCACUGUGUGGGGGUGGCUGCAUCCAUCUGGAAAAAGGAGACUUGGUUUGAGCUUGGUAGUAGAUCCUGUGUUCUAAAAUACUAGAAUGUAUUUACAGUCAGGCAAGACUUAACUCUGCUACCACUUGUUUUCUGCAACUCUGGGUAAUUGGACAUAAUAGGCAGCAAGAUGCUCUAUAAAGGAAAGUUACAAGCAGUUGGUAUCUCAAAAUAGCUCUCAGUUCUUAAGUGGAAGUAACUUCCUUGCUGCAUGCAACUUGAAAAACUGGUGGGCAGAGGAAAAGCUGGUCCUUGUCUUACAGACAUGCAACUGAAAGAAAAUGAGGGGGAGAGAACAGACUCUGUGCUGUAUUUCUGGUGCAAUCACAGCGUCAGAAUUGUCAUGACAAUCAAAACUAUUUUUCUCUUUGUAACCUUUAAACUGUGUACUUCGUUUUAAGGUCAUGCUAAGACGUGUUACUGAAUUUGCUGUUUUGCAUUCCCUUUUAUGGCUGUGGUUUUAUCUUCAGGAAGAGACUUGCAAAACAGCCCUGGAGUUGUUCCAAAUCUCCUUCCUUAAGGGUGCCUGGGACUGCACAGGCAGGAGCAUCCCAAGCAGUGCUGCAUCCACAUGGACAUCACACUCUCAGCAUGUGGGGCUUUAACCUCAGGCCAUCGAGCUAUUUUUGGUGAUGAGAAGUUAGAAAUGAAUGACCCAAUGCUUGGCAUACUUCAGAUCUGCAUGAGACACGUUCUGCUUGGAAUGUUUCCUUUCUGAGAGUCAGCACCAAAUACAGAUGAGUAGUAUUUCUUUUAGAGAUGGCCUUGUGGAUGUCUGCCACACAGGAAAUUUCAUAUAUGGGUUACUUCUAACAAUCUUGCCAUCAUUUCAUCAGCAGUACUAGCAGUUGUAAAGAGGCUAUUAUCCAAGCCAGUAACUUUUAUGGCCAUAUUAAAGUAGCAUAAAAUUAAUUAUCUUGAUACAAUAGCCUAAACUUGCUUUUUGAACUCUGCAAGUGCACUUUCAUAUUGUAAAAUCUGCCCUGGUGCAGUCAUGGAGAUGGAUGUAAGUAAACCAGACACUGGAUAUUAAUAUUAAAACAAUAUUAAUAUUGUUUUGUAAUUUGUCACCUGCAGUUAACCUAGUCCCUUUUUCAUUUUCUUGAGCAAAGCUACUGUAUGUGGACUUGCUGACUAAAUAAUUAUAACAAGGAAUGUGACAUAUCCAGCCUUAAAGAGUAGUGAUUCAUCUGGUGCUGAGUAACAGCCAGUGGAUGUGUGAGACUUAAGGAGGAAGCAUCUUACUGAACAGGCUACUCUUGUGUCAUUGUUGGAUCUGUACUCCUUAAACACUCCUUGGGUAGAGAGAUGACUGAGCUAAGAGAUUACUUGGUCUGUAGACUCUUCCUUCCUGCUGUUCUGUGUAAUCCCUGUGCUUUGGGUCUUGAGCAAGAACACACCAUUGAAACUCUGAGCAUGAAGUGGUUCAGCAUGGCAAGAAAUGGAGUUAUGCAUUCCAAGUGGGUAUUUAACUUUCUGCUGUAUUAUGUGUUCCCAUAAAUGGCCAGAGUAGGACAAAGUAGGUUACUUGUGGAGCCUGAAGCAAGCAGUGCUGCUUUUCUGCUAUCUUUAGAUCUGGAACUUCCCAGUGCUUUGGGCAGAAAUAACCCAAGCGAGACUCUUAGAAUCACCUCUUUCUCAAAUCUCUAAUUCAGAAGAUUUCACCCUGCCAUUUGUUUGCCUUGCAAAGCAUUUCCACAUUUUAGUUACACUGAAGUUAUAAUUGACCAUUUUCAAGCCAGCUGGAAAAGCUAAUUUUAAUUUUAGGGAAGGGGAUCCAAGCCUUACUUCCGUAGGAAUGCAUGCUGCCUUUCAAACCUUCACAUUGACUGCCUGAUCAGGUGUUGUUCUCUGGGCUUAAAUUAAACUCCUGUCCUUAGAUGUUGUUUAAGCCUGCAGGAUAUGGGAGCAUCUAUAACAGAGCCAGAUUUUUCCCCCCUAGUAAAAGACAGCCUCUGCUAAAUAUAAGCUUUUUGGUUGUUUGCAAUUUAAUAUUAUUUUCUCUUGUUCUGAAACAGAUCUAGAUGUCACCUAAAUAAUCUCAGAUCCAUGUUCAGCCCUUCUGGAGCUUGUUCACCAAAUGAUUUCCCUCAGAGAGCUCUAUAUAUUUAGGAAAAAAUUAUCUUCAACAUUAAUUAAAGUUUAAUCCUGCUUUGCUGUCCCACUGCAUUUUUAGUUCAUUUGGUCAGUGGCUGUCAUAAGCAGCCACUUCCUUCUUUUUGAAGACUUCUUCCCCUUCUCAACUCCACUGUUUGACGUAGCAACAAGUAAAUACUUCUCAGUAGCAAAACUCACUGAAGUUUCUGUUUAGCCUAUCAGCUGUGGACUAAAUUAGUGAAACAUUAGGAUGAUAAUGCACUACUGUAUAAUUAGUUAAUUUUUAAGUAACUAAAAUUAGUCAGUUACUUGUUAAAUACAGUGUGGUUGUCUCAUGGAACUGCAGGGUUACAAAAAUGGCUGUCACAGGGAAGUUGCAGUAGUUUUUCUGCUGGCAUGAGUCUCUCUGGGCUAAAAUCUAUUCUAAUGUUCCUGGGUCUUGUUGACAAGAGAUAGCAAUGCUGAACCUAUAAUGAAAAAGAAUUCUGCUGGUUUUCUGUUUCUAAAGUAAAGGACAAUGUCAGUAUUAAAGUAGCUUGUUUAGAAUUCUUCUGCCUUUUUCCUCUUUGACCCCCUCCCCUCCCC